RNAcentral lists this ribosomal RNA (460 nucleotides) under uncultured bacterium. RNAcentral describes it as "partial 16S ribosomal RNA". It matches the Rfam family "Bacterial small subunit ribosomal RNA", at positions 338 to 795 of the family's 1533-position model. The record is from RNAcentral.
CCUACGGGUGGCAGCAGUGAGGAAUAUUGGUCAAUGGGCGCGAGCCUGAACCAGCCAAGUAGCGUGAAGGAUGACUGCCCUACGGGUUGUAAACUUCUUUUAUAAAGGAAUAAAGUGAGGCACGUGUGCCUUUUUGUAUGUACUUUAUGAAUAAGGAUCGGCUAACUCCGUGCCAGCAGCCGCGGUAAUAUGGAGGAUCCGAGCGUUAUCCGGAUUUAUUGGGUUUGAAGGGAGCGUGGAUGGGUUGUUAAGUCGGUUGUGAAAGGUUGCGGCUCCACCGUAAAAUUGCAAUUGAUACUGGCAGCCGUGAGUACAGUUGAGGUAGGCGGAAUUCGUGGUGUAGCGGUGAAAUGCUUAGAUAUCACGAAGAACGGCGAUUGGGAAGGCAGGUUACUAAACUGCCACUGAGAUGGAUGGUCGAAAGUGUGGGUAUCAAACAGGAUUAGAGACCGUAGUAGUC